CCUACGGGUGGCAGCAGUGAGGAAUAUUGGUCAAUGGGCGUAAGCCUGAACCAGCCAAGUCGCGUGCGGGAUGAAGGUUCUAUGGAUCGUAAACCUCUUUUAUAAGGGAAUAAAGUGGGGGACGUGUCCUAUUUUGUAUGUACCUUAUGAAUAAGGAUCGGCUAACUCCGUGCCAGCAGCCGCGGUAAUACGGAGGAUCCGAGCGUUAUCCGGAUUUAUUGGGUUUAAAGGGUGCGUAGGCGGCCUUGUAAGUCAGCGGUGAAAGUCUCUGGCUCAACCAUAGAAUUGCCGUUGAUACUGGGGGUCUUGAGAAUGUUUGAGGCAGGCGGAAUGUGUGGUGUAGCGGUGAAAUGCUUAGAGAUCACGCAGAACCCCGAUUGCGAAGGCAGCCUGCCAAGCCAUGACUGACGUUGAUGCACGAAAGCGUGGGGAUCAAACAGGAUUAGAUACCCCGGUAGUC
RNAcentral lists this ribosomal RNA (460 nucleotides) under uncultured bacterium. Its description in RNAcentral is "partial 16S ribosomal RNA". It matches the Rfam family "Bacterial small subunit ribosomal RNA", at positions 338 to 795 of the family's 1533-position model. The record is from RNAcentral.